This 446-nucleotide ribosomal RNA is filed under the name uncultured bacterium. RNAcentral describes it as "bacterial SSU rRNA". It matches the Rfam family "Bacterial small subunit ribosomal RNA", at positions 329 to 792 of the family's 1533-position model. The record is from RNAcentral.
CGCCAGACUCCUACGGGAGGCAGCAGUGGGGAAUAUUGCACAAUGGGGGGAACCCUGAUGCAGCGACGCCGCGUGGGUGAGGAAGUACUUCGGUAUGUAAAGCCCUAUCAGCAGGGAAGAAAAUGACGGUACCUGACUAAGAAGCCCCGGCUAACUACGUGCCAGCAGCCGCGGUAAUACAUAGGGAGCAAGCGUUAUCCGGAUUUAUUGGGUGUAAAGGGUGCGUAGACGGGAAAUUAAGUUAGUUGUGAAAUCCCUCGGCUUAACUGAGGAACUGCAACUAAAACUGAUUUUCUUGAGUACUGGAGAGGAAAGUGGAAUUCCUAGUGUAGCGGUGAAAUGCGUAGAUAUUAGGAGGAACACCAGUGGCGAAGGCGACUUUCUGGACAGUAACUGACGUUGAGGCACGAAAGUGUGGGGAGCAAACAGGAUUAGAUACCCCCGUA